This 434-nucleotide ribosomal RNA is filed under the name uncultured Lachnospiraceae bacterium. RNAcentral's name for it is "bacterial SSU rRNA". It matches the Rfam family "Bacterial small subunit ribosomal RNA", at positions 341 to 792 of the family's 1533-position model. The record is from RNAcentral. Lineage: Bacteria; Bacillati; Bacillota; Clostridia; Lachnospirales; Lachnospiraceae.
ACGGAAGGCAGCAGUGGGGAAUAUUGCACAAUGGGGGAAACCCUGAUGCAGCGACGCCGCGUGAGUGAAGAAGUUAUUCGUAAUGUAAAGCUCUAUCAGCAGGGAAGAAAAUGACGGUACCUGACUAAGAAGCCCCGGCUAACUACGUGCCAGCAGCCGCGGUAAUACGUAGGGGGCAAGCGUUAUCCGGAUUUACUGGGUGUAAAGGGAGCGUAGACGGUUUGGCAAGUCUGAAGUGAAAUGCGGGGGCUCAACUCCUGAACUGCUUUGGAAACUGUCGAACUAGAGUGCAGGAGAGGUAAGUGGAAUUCCUAGUGUAGCGGUGAAAUGCGUAGAUAUUAGGAGGAACACCAGUGGCGAAGGCGGCUUACUGGACUGUAACUGACGUUGAGGCUCGAAAGCGUGGGGAGCAAACAGGAUUAGAUACCCUGGUA